GAGGAGUUUUAUUCUUGCUUAAUUUUAUUUAUUAUGAGAAAAUAUUAUAUGUAAGUUUGUGCAAUUUAUAACUUCUAAAUGAUUAUAAAAAAUUGAUUACAGUAUUAAGUAUUAAUAAUUAAAUUAGUUUUGAAUUAGUUAUUUUCAUUAAGUAUUGAUAAAAUAUGUGCCAGCAUUCGCGGUUAUACAUAAAAUAUUAGUAAAUGUUAUUAGUUUAUAGUUAUUAAUAUAAUUUAAUUAUAUUUAAUUAAUUUUGGGUGAAAUCUAAUUAAUUUAUUUUGUUGUUUAUAAGUUAAGAAUCUAUGAAAUCUAAAUUAAGAGACUAGGAUUAGAUACCCUAUUAUUUUAGAUUUAAAUUAAUGAAGCUUGAGUAGUAUAAGUUAUGUUCUUUAAACUUAAAGAAUUUGGCGGUAUUUUAGUCUAUUUAGAGGAAUCUGUCCCGUUAUCGAUAAUCCACGUUGGACCUUACUUAAUUUUUUAGUAUGUAUACCGCCGUUUAUUUGAAGAUCUUAUGAGGGUGAAUUUUCUUAAUAUAAUAUAUUAUAAUAUUUCAGGUCAAGGUGCAGCUUAUAAUUAAGUGGAGAUGGAUUACAAUAUAUUUAUAUAUGAAUUAUUAAUUGUAAAAUUAAUAUGAAGGUGGAUUUAAUAGUAAUAUUAAUAAGAUUAUUAAUAUAAUUAUAGCUCUAAAAUGUGUACAUAUCGCCCGUCACUCUCGCUAGUUAAGGUGAGAUAAGUCGUAACAAAGUAGGUGUACCGGAAGGUGUAGCUAGAAUAAU
RNAcentral lists this ribosomal RNA (776 nucleotides) under Cyrtonotula maculosa. RNAcentral's name for it is "12S ribosomal RNA". Lineage: Eukaryota; Metazoa; Arthropoda; Insecta; Blattodea; Blaberidae. The record is from RNAcentral.